AAUUGGAGGGCAAGUCUGGUGCCAGCAGCCGCGGUAAUUCCAGCUCCAAUAGCGUAUAUUAAAGUUGUUGCAGUUAAAAAGCUCGUAGUUGAAUUUCGGGAUCAAUAUUUCGGUCAUGCCGUUGGUAUGCACUGUUAUCAUUGAUUUCUCACCUUCUAAAGAACCGUAAUGCCAUUAAUUUGGUGUUACGGGGAAUUAGGACUGUUACCUUGAAAAAAUUAGAGUGUUUAAAGCAGGCUCACGCUUGAAUACAUUAGCAUGGAAUAAUGAAAUAGGACAUCCGAUUCUAUUUUGUUGGUUUCUAGGAUCGAUGUAAUGAUUAAUAGGGAUAGUUGGGGGCAUUAGUAUUCAAUUGUCAGAGGUGAAAUUCUUGGAUUUAUUGAAGACUAACUACUGCGAAGGCAUUUGCCAAGGAUGUUUUCAUUAAUCAAGAACGAAAGUUAGGGGAUCGAAGACGAUCAGAUACCGUCGUAGUCUUAACCAUAAACUAUGCCGACUAGGGAUCGGAUGAUGUUAAUUUUUUAAUGACUCAUUCGGCGCCUUACGGGAAACCAAAGUGU
Molecule: ribosomal RNA, 560 nt
Filed under: uncultured Glomus
Lineage: Eukaryota; Fungi; Glomeromycota; Glomeromycetes; Glomerales; Glomeraceae
Description: SSU rRNA
Rfam family: Eukaryotic small subunit ribosomal RNA
Source: RNAcentral